This 95-nucleotide transfer RNA is filed under the name Pleurotus ostreatus PC15. RNAcentral's name for it is "tRNA-Pro". It matches the Rfam family "tRNA". From Rfam's summary of the family: Transfer RNA (tRNA) molecules are approximately 80 nucleotides in length. Their secondary structure includes four short double-helical elements and three loops (D, anti-codon, and T loops). Further hydrogen bonds mediate the characteristic L-shaped molecular structure. tRNAs have two regions of fundamental functional importance: the anti-codon, which is responsible for specific mRNA codon recognition, and the 3' end, to which the tRNAs corresponding amino acid is attached (by aminoacyl-tRNA synthetases). tRNAs cope with the degeneracy of the genetic code in two manners: having more than one tRNA (with a specific anti-codon) for a particular amino acid; and 'wobble' base-pairing, i.e. permitting non-standard base-pairing at the 3rd anti-codon position. Lineage: Eukaryota; Fungi; Basidiomycota; Agaricomycetes; Agaricales; Pleurotaceae. The record is from RNAcentral.
GGCCUGAUGGUCUAGUAGUAUGAUUCCUUGUUAGGGCGUUGCGAAAGCGACUUGCAAUAUCGAGGAGGUCCCGGGUUCAAUUCCCGGUCAGGCCC